This is a non-coding RNA of Vigna umbellata (rice bean), 590 nucleotides long. Lineage: Eukaryota; Viridiplantae; Streptophyta; Magnoliopsida; Fabales; Fabaceae. The record is from RefSeq and is a predicted model, not a curated record.
UUUGUUUAGUGAUGCUUUUGUUUAGUUAUUAUUUUUUAAAAGGUUCUGCUACCUAAGUAAAUCUACUUUUGGUAGUCAACGUGAAGGCGUAGUGGGACUCUGUUAAACACUCUUGUGUCGCGCCCCCAAUCUGGGAUGAGUUGCACCUAUUGUCUGCCUUUCUUGUCCAUUCGUUGUCAUCCAGGUGGUCUUUGAACCUAUGCUUGCAUGUUCGUUAUUGUUCCAUCUAUCGCGCAUGCACCGUGACUGACUAAAGAGCUGAUCGUGGUGCGACUUUUAUUUUAUCUUGGUUCUGUUUGAUUUGAGGCAACCAUUCUCUAAACCCAGAUUUUUUUCUUUUUCUGUUAUCCCAUGUACCAGUUGUAGAAUUGAUGAUGCUUAUUUGUCUGAUCAUACACAUGUAUCUUUCAGGUUUUGAUUCGGUGUCCUUUUGUAAGGGAAACAGGAUUAGAUGGAGAGUCAGUUAUUAAUUCAUUUUGCCUUACCAUCACUCUAUUUCAGCACAUGUACCAUAAUAGAAUUUAUAUCUUUCUAGCUAGUUCACUAUAUAUGCUACAUAACACCCAUAAAAUCUUUGGAAUUGCAUUGCU